Megalobrama amblycephala (Wuchang bream) is the source of this 1794-nucleotide long non-coding RNA. RefSeq lists it as uncharacterized. Lineage: Eukaryota; Metazoa; Chordata; Actinopteri; Cypriniformes; Xenocyprididae. The transcript has 2 exons. The record is from RefSeq and is a predicted model, not a curated record.
ACACAUCACUGACAGGCUUUCCUGUGUAACACUGAUUCAAGUUUUCCACCAUUGUAUUUAUCCAAAUGAGGUUCUCAGGGAUCCCCAGUUGAAGGCAUCAGGACAUCAGAUGUUGGCCUGGACAGAUGUACCAACAGUACACCACAAAGACCUCUGCUUUUAAAUGGAUGGCUGAUUACUACCAUGUUCUGUGCGGGUAUUAUUAUAGCAAAACUGAGCACCUGUGAUAGUGGGAUUUCUAAUUUUAAAGAAUAGUCAUACAUCAGUAAAUUAUUUAUUUUUUUAUUUUUUUAUUUAAAAAUUUGAAAGGAUUUUUAAAAGUUGCAACCUUUUUUUCUCCAGUUACAAAAACAGCUGUUACACCUUUUCAAAUUCUUCAUUGGGGGUGCACAAAUCCUAUUUCACAAAUUAAGAAAUUCAUAUGCUCACAUUUAAGCCGUGUUCUUCAGACACUGUAACAAUCCUGAUAUGAUGUCACACUUUGCAGUAUCUUUUUUAUUAACAUGAAUUCAAAUUUUAACAAAUAUAUUCAAAAUGUAAAGAUAUACAAUCUGACAAUCUGAUCUUGUCAUUAUUAAUCAAUCAGUAAUCAACACUGCACCACCCCGAAAUUACAUGCACUGUAGAAGUAUGGUUUUGGCAAGAAAUGAACAGUAGCUAAAUAUUUAUUAUAAAUGCUACUAUUUGACAUUCAGUAUUUUAGUCUAUAUUAAAGGGAUACAAGUCUCUUUUAUGUAUGAUUUUUUUUUUAUUACAAACUGUUUUUGUUUGUUUGUUUGUUUGUUUUUAGCUAGCACUUAAUAUUUCUUUAAUGUUACCACAUGAGAAUAGCCAAACAGUGUAGGUGAUUCACAAAAUCAUACACAAAGAAAUGUGCAUGAUUGGCCAAAGUUUUACUGAUCUACAAAAAAAUUGAGCCUAUGAGUUUCUUAAUUUGUGAUUUGUAGAAUAGGUUUAGUGCACCUGCAAUGAAAAAAAUUAAAGGCAGCAGCUAUUUGCACUAAGUGACAAUAGCACAUUUUCUUACACUAGGUGAAAAUAGUGAUAGAUUCUAUUUACACCAUGUAAAGUAUCAGUUAUUUGCAAUAAGAGUAAAUAGAUGCUAUCUAUAGGCCUACUUAAUAUUGACAGAUAUUAUUUGCACCUCAGUAUUUUUGUACAUUAACAGGAUGCAAUAAUAUAGAGUGUAAAUGAUUGUAUUUAUUAAAAUGAUUAAAUGGAUGCUGCCUUAUUGGUAGAAUAAAACCCUCCCUACACCUUCUCCUAACCCUACCCAAUAAACAUUUUUAAUAUUAUUAAACACUUGUUCAGUUUAGUUCCGCUUUUAGAACAUUAUUUUCAUUCUUAUUGAAAAUAAAUGUGAGCUUAGCAAAAGGCAGAUUUGAACCUGCAUCAAAAGCCAGAACUCCCUACUCGCUACUGCUGUGUCACUGAAGACGUUGCCUUCUGUGCUUCUUUUUUAAAACUUGAGUGGCCCAAAAGCUAGUGUAAAUAGCGUUUGCCAACAAGGGACGCUAUUUGCACUUUAUGUAAAUAGACACUCUGAAAUUUAAAAGGUGUAACUGUUGUGUUGUGUUUUUGAGAGAGAAAGGAACUAAGUUUUCAGCUCCUAAAACAUUGAUGACUUCACUGAAAUAUUGUCUACACCUUCCACUGUCAGUUGCUCAGUUUCACUACAAUAAUACCAGAUACAAUACAGCAUGUGCAUAAUUGAGUCGCUAUUCUAACAGCUGGGGGCUAUAGACUUAUAAUAAAUGAGCAAUAUUAUAAUAAAUAUGCACAUUGCUUUCUGUA